RNAcentral lists this ribosomal RNA (261 nucleotides) under uncultured bacterium. RNAcentral describes it as "partial 16S ribosomal RNA". It matches the Rfam family "Bacterial small subunit ribosomal RNA", at positions 796 to 1041 of the family's 1533-position model. The record is from RNAcentral.
CACGCUGUAAACGAUGGAUACUGGAUGUGGGGAGAAUCGACUCUCUCCGUAUCGAAGCAAACGCGAUAAGUAUCCCGCCUGAGUAGUACGGCCGCAAGGUUGAAACUUAAAGGAAUUGACGGGGACCCGCACAAGCAGCGGAGCGCGUCGUUUAAUUCGACGCAACACGAAGAACCUUACCAAGGCUUGACAUUAAAGUGAACGUCUGUGGAAACACAGGGGGUGGUGUGGUAGUAAUACCAUACCCACUUCAACAGAUGG